GCCAGACUCCUACGGGAGGCAGCAGUGGGGAAUAUUGCACAAUGGGGGGAACCCUGAUGCAGCGACGCCGCGUGGGUGAAGAAGUAUUUCGGUAUGUAAAGCCCUAUCAGCAGGGAAGAAAGAAGACGGUACCUGACUAAGAAGCCCCGGCUAACUACGUGCCAGCAGCCGCGGUAAUACGUAGGGGGCGAGCGUUAUCCGGAUUCACUGGGUGUAAAGGGAGCGUAGACGGCCGUGCAAGCCAGGAGUGAAAGCCCGGGGCCCAACCCCGGGACUGCUCUUGGAACUGUGCGGCUGGAGUGCGGGAGGGGCAGGCGGAAUUCCUGGUGUAGCGGUGAAAUGCGUAGAUAUCAGGAGGAACACCGGCGGCGAAGGCGGCCUGCUGGACCGCGACUGACGUUGAGGCUCGAAAGCGUGGGGAGCGAACAGGAUUAGAUACCCGAGUA
This 446-nucleotide ribosomal RNA is filed under the name uncultured bacterium. Its description in RNAcentral is "bacterial SSU rRNA". It matches the Rfam family "Bacterial small subunit ribosomal RNA", at positions 330 to 792 of the family's 1533-position model. The record is from RNAcentral.